This 248-nucleotide ribosomal RNA is filed under the name uncultured bacterium. RNAcentral describes it as "partial 16S ribosomal RNA". It matches the Rfam family "Bacterial small subunit ribosomal RNA", at positions 524 to 771 of the family's 1533-position model. The record is from RNAcentral.
UACAGAGGGUGCAAGCGUUGUCCGGAAUCACUGGGCGUAAAGGGCGCGUAGGCGGCCCGAUAAGUAGGGGGUGAAAUCUUGCGGCUCAACCGCAAGGCUGCCUUCUAGACUGUCGGGCUUGAGCACAGUAGAGGCAGGUGGAAUUCCCGGUGUAGCGGUGAAAUGCGCAGAUAUCGGGAGGAACACCAAUGGCGAAGGCAGCUUGCUGGGACGGUACUGACGCUGAGACGCGAAAGCGUGGGGAGCAA